GACGAACGCUGGCGGCGUGCCUAAUACAUGCAAGUCGAGCGCAGGAAACUGACGGAACUCUUCGGAGGGAAGGCAGUGGAAUGAGCGGCGGACGGGUGAGUAACACGUAAGGAACCUGCCUCAAGGAUUGGGAUAACUCCGAGAAAUCGGAGCUAAUACCGGAUAGUUCAACGGACCGCAUGGGCCGCUGAUGAAAGGCGCUCCGGCGUCACCUUGAGCUGGCCUUGCGGUGCAUUAGCUCGUUGGUGGGGGAACGGCCCACCAAGGCGACGAUGCAUAGCCGACCUGAGAGGGUGAUCGGCCACACUGGGACUGAGACACGGCCCAGACUCCUACGGGAGGCAGCAGUAGGGAAUCUUCCACAAUGGACGAAAGUCUGAUGGAGCAACGCCGCGUGAGUGAUGAAGGUUUUCGGAUCGUAAAACUCUGUUGUAAGGGAAGAACACGUACGAGAGGAAAUGCUCGUACCUUGACGGUACCUUACGAGAAAGCCACGGCUAACUACGUGCCAGCAGCCGCCGUAA
RNAcentral lists this ribosomal RNA (524 nucleotides) under uncultured bacterium. Its description in RNAcentral is "partial 16S ribosomal RNA". It matches the Rfam family "Bacterial small subunit ribosomal RNA", at positions 28 to 523 of the family's 1533-position model. The record is from RNAcentral.